GGCUAUUAUGCAAAAGAAGAUUCUAAUGAAAGGAUGUUGGUCUAUGAACGGCUUUAUCAUGGAAGCUUAGAUAAGCUACUCUUUGGAAGAUCAGAUGGUCGUUUCAUGGACUGGUCUAAACGUUUGAAGGUUGCCCUAGGUGCUGCCAGAGGUCUAGCUUUCUUGCAUGAUGAAGGACCCUUUCAGGUGAGCAUGCUACUUGAUUUAUGGUCUUAUGGCAUCACACAAAAGGCCAUGUACAACGAGUUCUCAACUUGAACAUCCAAAUAGAUAAAGGUUUCACUGCUAAGCUUUCAGGAUAUGGUUGUGUUGGCUUCAAUACCGAGGAGAUAUCUAAUGCACCUGUGUCUGCAGCAAACCUUUCGGUGGAGACCUUGGAGAAGGGUUUACUCACUCCCAAGAGCAAUGUCUGGAGCUUUGGAGUCGUGUUACUGGAGCUAAUAACUAGAAGGAAGAACCUUGAUCCCAAUUAUUCCAAAGAAGAACACAAUAUUUUUAGCUGGAGUAGGCCUUUCCUUACUGAUGACAGUCACCUAUGUCUUAUCAUGGACUCCCGUAUAAAAGGGCGCUUUCCCAUUAAGGCUGCUCGGAUAGUAGCAGACAUCAUUUUGAAAUGCCUGCGUAAGGAUCCAUCGGAGAGGCCUACCAUGAGGGAUGUUGUGGAGGCCCUAGCAAGAGUCCAGGAAAUAAAGGUUCCGUGUAGAUAUCCUCUGCAAGAACCUUUUUUGUGCUCGAAUUGGGUGGAAGCAGCGUGCCGAGUGGGCCUUGUAACCUCAUAACGCAAUAAACUCGUUUCCCAGUUUCUGUUCACCCCUGCCCGUACGUAUUCUAGUGGCCAUUGCACUGCUGUUGCACCUGUGAAUUUGAACUUUUGCAUGUAUUUAUCCAUAACAUCUGAUUACUGAAUCAUCCAUGCUUAGGCCUUUGCCUUCAGUUUGUCUAUUGCUGCAACAAGUCGGGGCUGGAUCGUUCCAAAGUAAAUGUAAAUGGAGGCGCGAUUGCCCUUGGACACCCUCUGGGUGCAACAGGUGCCCGGUUGCAUGGCUACUCUUCUGAAUGAAAUGAAUCACCGGGGCAGAGACUGGAGAUUUGGUGUUGUCACCAUGUGUAUCGGUUAGUCUUACUUAUCAGUUAUCACAUACUAA
Molecule: RNA transcript, 1145 nt
Organism: Zea mays
Lineage: Eukaryota; Viridiplantae; Streptophyta; Magnoliopsida; Poales; Poaceae
Gene name: protein-like pseudogene
Exons: 4
Source: RefSeq, marked validated